This is a long non-coding RNA of Dermacentor albipictus, 460 nucleotides long. RefSeq lists it as uncharacterized. NCBI's taxonomy places the organism in Eukaryota, Metazoa, Arthropoda, Arachnida, Ixodida, Ixodidae. The record is from RefSeq and is a predicted model, not a curated record.
CCCUUACGCUGUCGCCAUUUCCGACGCUGACAAUGACACCAUCUUUGAAUGCCUGACGACGAAGCGCAAGGACUUUGACCCCGAGGCGAAGACAGUAACCUAUGUGUGGUCAAUAAAUAAUGGUCCUGGUAAGAGGAAGCAUGUUGGUUUCCACCACACCGCUGGGGCAACGCCAGAUGCCACAAACUUUACAGUUGGCAAAAAUUCCGACAAGGUGGAAGUGGCGUAUGUAAUUUGGAGCGACUACAAAGACUGCGCCGUUACGGAAGUUCCGCACUUCGGAGACCAAUGCACGCUAUGGGUGUCGAAAGAAGUGGAGGACCUUGUACCCCUGUACUGUCUCGAGCAGUUUCACGACGUAUGUGGUGUCGUGGUACCCCUUCACGACAGCGACCUCUGCGAGGAUGACGACAAUGACGAGGAGGACGAAGAUGACUAGGUGCCCAAAGCACACACUGGA